Pelobates cultripes (western spadefoot toad) is the source of this 240-nucleotide non-coding RNA. The record is from the annotation of a GenBank genome assembly. Lineage: Eukaryota; Metazoa; Chordata; Amphibia; Anura; Pelobatidae.
UGUCCGGUCCCUUCCUAAAACUAAGACGAGUCAGAUGGGCGAGCCAGUGCAUAUAACCUACUACCUUACAAGCAAUGCUGGGUGCCCGGUUAAGGUACUGGUUACGUUCUUGGGCACGCCACCAUACGCACCACUGAACCAUUACUGUCGCUGUACGAUACUGUCCUUACCACAGGUAAGUUCAUGCACUAUGUCCAUCUACUCAUUCACCGGGCUCGAACUAAACCCUAGCGACUACUC